This 393-nucleotide ribosomal RNA is filed under the name uncultured beta proteobacterium. Its description in RNAcentral is "bacterial SSU rRNA". It matches the Rfam family "Bacterial small subunit ribosomal RNA", at positions 9 to 404 of the family's 1533-position model. The record is from RNAcentral. Lineage: Bacteria; Pseudomonadati; Pseudomonadota; Betaproteobacteria.
GAGUUUGAUCAUGGCUCAGAUUGAACGCUGGCGGCAUGCUUUACACAUGCAAGUCGAGCGGCAGCGCGGGGCAACCUGGCGGCGAGCGGCGAACGGGUGAGUAAUGCAUCGGAACGUAUCCCGUAGUGGGGGACAACCCAGCGAAAGCUGGGCUAAUACCGCAUAUGCUCUACGGAGGAAAGUGGGGGACCUGAGAGGGCCUCACGCUAUGGGAGCGGCCGAUGUCCGAUUAGCUGGUUGGUGGGGUAACGGCUUACCAAGGCGACGAUCGGUAGCUGGUCUGAGAGGAUGAUCAGCCACACUGGGACUGAGACACGGCCCAGACUCCUACGGGAGGCAGCAGUGGGGAAUUUUGGACAAUGGGGGCAACCCUGAUCCAGCCAUGCCGCGUGC